AGAGUUUUGUCCUGGCUCAGGACGAACGCUGGCGGCGUGCUUAACACAUGCAAGUCGAACGGUGACGAUGGAGCUUGCUCUGUCUGAUCAGUGGCGAACGGGUGAGUAACACGUGAGUAACCUGCCCCCGACUCUGGAAUAACCGUGGGAAACGACGGCUAAUACCGGAUAUGAGACGCACAGGCAUCUGUGGGUCUGGAAAGAUUUAUCGGUCAGGGAUGGACUCGCGGCCUAUCAGCUUGUUGGUGGGGUAAUGGCCUACCAAGGCGACGACGGGUAGCCGGCCUGAGAGGGCGAUCGGCCACACUGGGACUGAGAUACGGCCCAGACUCCUACGGGAGGCAGCAGUGGGGAAUAUUGCACAAUGGGCGCAAGCCUGAUGCAGCGACGCCGCGUGAGGGAUGAAGGCCUUCGGGUUGUAAACCUCUUUCAGCAGGGAAGAAGCGAAAGUGACGGUACCUGCAGAAGAAGCGCCGGCUAACUACGUGCCAGCAGCCGCGGUAAUACGUAGGGCGCAAGCGUUGUCCGGAAUUAUUGGGCGUAAAGAGCUYGUAGGCGGUUUGUCGCGUCUGCUGUGAAAACCUGAGGCUCAACCUCGGGCUUGCAGUGGGUACGGGCAGACUAGAGUGCGGUAGGGGUGACUGGAAUUCCUGGUGUAGCGGUGGAAUGCGCAGAUAUCAGGAGGAACACCGAUGGCGAAGGCAGGUCACUGGGCCGCAACUGACGCUGAGGAGCGAAAGCAUGGGGAGCGAACAGGAUUAGAUACCCUGGUAGUCCAUGCCGUAAACGUUGGGCACUAGGUGUGGGGCUCAUUCCACGAGUUCCGUGCCGCAGCAAACGCAUUAAGUGCCCCGCCUGGGGAGUACGGCCGCAAGGCUAAAACUCAAAGAAAUUGACGGGGGCCCGCACAAGCGGCGGAGCAUGCGGAUUAAUUCGAUGCAACGCGAAGAACCUUACCCAAGGCUUGACAUACACCGGAAAAGUGCAGAGAUGUGCUCCCCGCAAGGUCGGUGUACAGGUGGUGCAUGGUUGUCGUCAGCUCGUGUCGUGAGAUGUUGGGUUAAGUCCCGCAACGAGCGCAACCCUCGUCCUAUGUUGCCAGCGGGUCAUGCCGGGGACUCAUAGGAGACUGCCGGGGUCAACUCGGAGGAAGGUGGGGAUGACGUCAAAUCAUCAUGCCCCUUAUGUYUUGGGCUUCACGCAUGCUACAAUGGCCGGUACAAAGGGCUGCGAUACCGCGAGGUGGAGCGAAUCCCAAAAAGCCGGUCUCAGUUCGGAUUGGGGUCUGCAACUCGACCCCAUGAAGUCGGAGUCGCUAGUAAUCGCAGAUCAGCAACGCUGCGGUGAAUAC
This 1351-nucleotide ribosomal RNA is filed under the name Cellulomonas sp. KAR1. RNAcentral's name for it is "bacterial SSU rRNA". It matches the Rfam family "Bacterial small subunit ribosomal RNA", at positions 8 to 1369 of the family's 1533-position model. Lineage: Bacteria; Bacillati; Actinomycetota; Actinomycetes; Micrococcales; Cellulomonadaceae. The record is from RNAcentral.